CAGCCGCUUUAUUUUUCAAAGUAGAGCGUCUGGAUGACAAGUGAUAUAAAAAUGGUAAUUUAUGACAUUCGGAAUAGUAUCGGCUUUUUUAGCUUGUUGUCAAAGAUAAUGUCCAAGACGAAUAACCAAGAAGUUGGUUAUUGACUUCGGAAGAAAUGACAUUACGAUAAUAUUAUUGAAAAGCCCGAGUGUACCGAUUGUUGUUUAAAGCUAUUUAUAUAUUUUUAUGACGACAUACAAUUUAUGGAAAACACCAUACAGCAUGGCGUACAUGGGCAUGGACGCGAAGGCAAAACCAGCCGACAUGAUGUCAUCCAACCUUGGUAAGAUGUUAUAACAACACACACUGUAACAUAAAUUGCAAUGCAACCUGAUACACCGAGUAGUUUUAAUAUAUUCUUUCAUGCAUGUCCGUGCAACGAAAACGAACCGUUUAUAAUUGCUGGGACCACUCGAACAGUCGUAUACGAUAUAAAUACAUUUUUACGUGUAGUAUCGUUAACUUUAUGAAUACUUGAUGUAAAACUGCUAUGACUUCGAAAUAUCACCUUCAUCCGAGAUAAGUUUGUUGUAUCUAUCUAAAUAAGGGAGCCUGCAUCUUGAUAUGUGUAAAAAAAAAGGGGGGCGGAGAGAUACACAAUGUUUUACUCAUUCAAAGACAAACAAUCAAAGUGUUUCUAGAAGAUGCCAUUUUUUACAUAGUACACUAAACGGUCAAAAUGAUUUAUACAUUCGAUUUUCUGCAAAACAAAAGAUAGUUAAACAAUAUUUUCAGCAUCAAUGAAAAGAGGUGUCAAUGACUGCGACAGCAACCAGUGAACCCAUCAUCAUGAUUAAGAGUUUAUCAUGUAAACUAAAACAACAAGUGAAGAUAAAAUUACCAAAAUCUCAGCAUUACACAAAUAAAAUAAUGUGGUAUGAAUACCAAUGAGAAAUAUCCACCCAAGUUCAAAUUAUUUGGAUGUGAGUGGCCUUCAACAAUGAGAAAAAUCCAUGCAUGGUUUGGAUAAAGCAUACACACAGGGAAUGUGUCAAAGAGACACUGGGCAACCCGACCAAAAGAGCAGUAAACAGCCCAAUGGGUCGGGUCUUUAACAAAGCAAGAUAAUCUUGCACCCUUAAAGCGGGAUUUAGCUUGCCACCAGGACAAUAGUUUAUAAAAUAUAUUUCUAUUAUGGGUUUUUUUAAACAAUUUGUUUUUCAUAUAUAUGCUAUGCUGGUGACUAAAAUUUGAUAUGAUUUUAAUAUUUACUUUCUUUUGUAGACAAACCAAUGAUGAUUUAUGGACACAGAUUUUAUGUGUAAAAUGUGAAGAAUUAAAACAAAAAUGUAAUAUUCAGGAUUUUGAUUGUAUCAUAAACAUGCUUCAAUUUUAUUAGAACAAGAC
Molecule: long non-coding RNA, 1387 nt
Filed under: Mytilus galloprovincialis (Mediterranean mussel)
Lineage: Eukaryota; Metazoa; Mollusca; Bivalvia; Mytilida; Mytilidae
Source: RNAcentral